RNAcentral lists this ribosomal RNA (301 nucleotides) under uncultured bacterium. RNAcentral describes it as "partial 16S ribosomal RNA". It matches the Rfam family "Bacterial small subunit ribosomal RNA", at positions 509 to 807 of the family's 1533-position model. The record is from RNAcentral.
CAGUCGCCACGGUAAUACGGAGGGUGCAAGCGUUAAUCGGAAUUACUGGGCGUAAAGCGCACGCAGGCGGUUUGUUAAGUCAGAUGUGAAAUCCCCGAGCUUAACUUGGGAACUGCAUUUGAAACUGGCAAGCUAGAGUCUUGUAGAGGGGGGUAGAAUUCCAGGUGUAGCGGUGAAAUGCGUAGAGAUCUGGAGGAAUACCGGUGGCGAAGGCGGCCCCCUGGACAAAGACUGACGCUCAGGUGCGAAAGCGUGGGGAGCAAACAGGAUUAGAGACCCGUGUAGUCCCUGUCUCUUAUAC